Molecule: ribosomal RNA, 246 nt
Filed under: uncultured bacterium
Lineage: Bacteria
Description: partial 16S ribosomal RNA
Rfam family: Bacterial small subunit ribosomal RNA
Source: RNAcentral
AUACGUAGGGGGCGAGCGUUGUCCGGAUUUACUGGGCGUAAAGGGUGCGUAGGUGGUUUCUUAAGUCAGGUGUGAAAGGCAUAGGCUCAACCUGUGUAAGCACUUGAAACUGAAUGACUUGAGUUAAGGAGAGGAAAGUGGAAUUCCUAGUGUAGCGGUGAAAUGCGUAGAUAUUAGGAGGAAUACCAGUGGCGAAGGCGACUUUCUGGACUUAUACUGACGCUGAGGCUCGAAAGCGUGGGGAGC